Molecule: ribosomal RNA, 253 nt
Filed under: uncultured bacterium
Lineage: Bacteria
Description: partial 16S ribosomal RNA
Rfam family: Bacterial small subunit ribosomal RNA
Source: RNAcentral
UACGAAGGGGGCUAGCGUUGUUCGGAUUUACUGGGCGUAAAGCGCACGUAGGCGGAUUUUUAAGUCAGGGGUGAAAUCCCGAGGCUCAACCUCGGAACUGCCCUUGAUACUGGAAGUCUCGAGUCCGGGAGAGGUGAGUGGAACUGCGAGUGUAGAGGUGAAAUUCGUAGAUAUUCGGAGGAACACCAGUGGCGAAGGCGGCUCACUGGCUCGAUACUGACGCUGAGGUGCGAAAGCGUGGGGAGCAAACAGG